RNAcentral lists this ribosomal RNA (724 nucleotides) under Nocardioides sp. 11683779. RNAcentral describes it as "bacterial SSU rRNA". It matches the Rfam family "Bacterial small subunit ribosomal RNA", at positions 68 to 806 of the family's 1533-position model. Lineage: Bacteria; Bacillati; Actinomycetota; Actinomycetes; Propionibacteriales; Nocardioidaceae. The record is from RNAcentral.
GGAAAGGCUCUUCGGGGGUACUCGAGCGGCGAACGGGUGACACGUGAGUAAUCUGCCCUUCACUUUGGGAUAACUACCGGAAACGGUGGCUAAUACCGGAUACGACACAGGUACGCAUGUGCUCUGUGUGGAAAGUUUUUUCGGUGGGGGAUGUGCUCGCGGCCUAUCAGCUUGUUGGUGGGGUAAUGGCCUACCAAGGCUUCGACGGGUAGCCGGCCUGAGAGGGUGACCGGCCACACUGGGACUGAGACACGGCCCAGACUCCUACGGGAGGCAGCAGUGGGGAAUAUUGGACAAUGGGCGGAAGCCUGAUCCAGCAACGCCGCUGAGGGAUGACGGCCUUCGGGUUGUAAACCUCUUUCAGUACCGACGAAGCGCCGAUGAUGGUGGUGACGGUAGGUACAGAAGAAGCACCGGCCAACUACGUGCCAGCAGCCGCGGUAAUACGUAGGGUGCGAGCGUUGUCCGGAAUUAUUGGGCGUAAAGGGCUCGUAGGCGGUUUGUCGCGUCGGGAGUGAAAACACUGGGCUUAACUCAGUGCUUGCUUUCAUACGGGGCAGACUAAGGCAUGCAGGGGAGAACGGAAUUCCUGGUGUAGCGGUGAAAUGCGCAGAUAUCAGGAGGAACACCGGUGGCGAAGGCGGUUCUCUGGGCAUGUCCUGACGCUGAGGAGCGAAAGUGUGGGGACAACAGGAUUAAUACCCUGGUAGUCCACACCCGUAAA